RNAcentral lists this ribosomal RNA (253 nucleotides) under uncultured bacterium. RNAcentral's name for it is "partial 16S ribosomal RNA". It matches the Rfam family "Bacterial small subunit ribosomal RNA", at positions 524 to 776 of the family's 1533-position model. The record is from RNAcentral.
UACGUAGGGUGCAAGCGUUGUCCGGAAUUAUUGGGCGUAAAGAGCUCGUAGGCGGUCUGUCGCGUCUGCUGUGAAAAUCCAGGGCUCAACCCUGGACCUGUAGUGGGUACGGGCAGACUAGAGUGCGGUAGGGGAGAUCGGAAUUCCUGGUGUAGCGGUGAAAUGCGCAGAUAUCAGGAGGAACACCGGUGGCGAAGGCGGAUCUCUGGGCCGUAACUGACGCUGAGGAGCGAAAGCAUGGGGAGCGAACAGG